UCUCACCCCCAAUUUCAUAUCUUCCCUUUAAUCCACCAAAAUCACAUGUUACUAAUUUUCUUAAAGAAAUUCAAUUUGAGCUUUCAUCGGAGUGAAUUCAAUUUCCAAACAUUUUCACAAUUGUUAAAAACAGUCGUUUCAAUUGUUUAAUUGUAGGUUCCUGAAGGUCUAAGUAAUCAUGUGAGUUAAUUCAAGAAAGCUCAAUCAAACUGGUAUAACCAAGUAUCAAACGCAUGGAGGAAAUCUAAACCUCCACCAAACACACCUGAAGAAGCUUCGAGGCUUGUAAGUCACACCCUACAGCGACACCCAACACCCGAUAUGGAGGGCUUAUGACCGUUCUACGUUCUCCGUCUUCCACAUCUUCUGGUUGAUGCGCCUUCACUCGUUGACGGGAUCAAGUUUGAGUUGCACACGCUUCCGGUGGAUGCAAAGGCAGUAGCAGAUGGGGAUACUGUAACAGUCUAUGUUAGUACCUCGGAUGCCCGGGAGUCAUCGCGUGUUCCCCAAGAGGUACAAAUGGCUGCGGU
Molecule: long non-coding RNA, 530 nt
Filed under: Helianthus annuus (common sunflower)
Lineage: Eukaryota; Viridiplantae; Streptophyta; Magnoliopsida; Asterales; Asteraceae
Source: RNAcentral